GACGAACGCUGGCGGCGUGCCUAAUACAUGCAAGUAGAACGCUGAAGAGAGGAGCUUGCUCUUCUUGGAUGAGUUGCGAACGGGUGAGUAACGCGUAGGUAACCUGCCUGGUAGCGGGGGAUAACUAUUGGAAACGAUAGCUAAUACCGCAUAAAAUUGAUUAUUGCAUGAUAAUUAAUUGAAAGAUGCAACUGCAUCACUACCAGAUGGACCUGCGUUGUAUUAGCUAGUUGGUGAGGUAACGGCUCACCAAGGCGACGAUACAUAGCCGACCUGAGAGGGUGAUCGGCCACACUGGGACUGAGACACGGCCCAGACUCCUACGGGAGGCAGCAGUAGGGAAUCUUCGGCAAUGGGGGGAACCCUGACCGAGCAACGCCGCGGGAGUGAAGAAGGUUUUCGGAUCGGAAAGCUCUGUUGUAAGAGAAGAACGGGUGUGAGAGUGGAAAGUUCACACUGUGACGGUAUCUUAACAGAAAGGGACGGCUAACUACGUG
Molecule: ribosomal RNA, 497 nt
Filed under: uncultured bacterium
Lineage: Bacteria
Description: partial 16S ribosomal RNA
Rfam family: Bacterial small subunit ribosomal RNA
Source: RNAcentral